Molecule: ribosomal RNA, 486 nt
Filed under: uncultured bacterium
Lineage: Bacteria
Description: partial 16S ribosomal RNA
Rfam family: Bacterial small subunit ribosomal RNA
Source: RNAcentral
GAUGAACGCUAGCGGCAGGCUUAACACAUGCAAGUCGAGGGGCAGCGUGGGAUAGAAAUAUCCUGGCGUCGACCGGCGGAGGGGUGCGUAACUCGUGAGCGACAUACCUGCCGCCCGGGGACAACCGGUGGAAACGCCGACUAAUCCCCGAUGGGUUAUUGUGCCGCAUGGCACGAUAUUUGAAGUUACGGCGGCGUCGGGUUGACUCGCGUCCGAUUGGCUGGUUGGCGGGGUAACGGCCCACCAAGGCGGCGAUCGGUAGGGGUUCUGAGAGGAAGGCCCGCCACUAUGGGAGUGAGACACGGCCCAUACGCCUUCGGGAGGCAGCAGUGAGGAAUAGUGGUGAAUGAGCGGAAGCCUGAAGCAGCCAUGCCGCGGGCGGAAAGAAGGCCGUAUGGGCUGUGAACCGCUUUUGCCUGUUGGAAAUAAGGGCGUCGCGCACGGCCGAUGAGAGUACCAGGCGAAUAAGCAUCGGCUAACUCCGUG